CUGAAUCAUCCCCCUUAGUAUUUGUUACGAUGUCACUUACACCCUGUACAGUCAUGAGCAAUAUAAUGUACCCACUUUAGGACUCUGUCGCACUAACAUAUUUGACAUUUAGUGAGACUUACAGUACAA
Molecule: long non-coding RNA, 129 nt
Organism: Pectinophora gossypiella (pink bollworm)
Lineage: Eukaryota; Metazoa; Arthropoda; Insecta; Lepidoptera; Gelechiidae
Exons: 2
Source: RefSeq, a predicted model, not a curated record